GAUGAACGCUGGCGGCGUGCCUAACACAUGCAAGUCGAACGGACUUAAUAUGAAACCUAGUGAUUGUUAAGUUAGUGGCGGACGGGUGAGUAACGCGUGGAUAACCUGCCGUAUGCAGGGGGAUAACAGUUGGAAACAGCUGCUAAUACCGCAUAAGCGCACGGUGCCGCAUGGUACAGUGCGAAAAGAUUUAUCGGCAUACGAUGGAUCCGCGUCCGAUUAGCCAGUUGGCGGGGUAACGGCCCACCAAAGCGACGAUCGGUAGCCGGCCUGAGAGGGCGGACGGCCACAUUGGGACUGAGACACGGCCCAA
RNAcentral lists this ribosomal RNA (313 nucleotides) under uncultured bacterium. RNAcentral describes it as "bacterial SSU rRNA". It matches the Rfam family "Bacterial small subunit ribosomal RNA", at positions 28 to 334 of the family's 1533-position model. The record is from RNAcentral.